UGCCUUACACAUGCAAGUCGAGCGGCAGCGCGGGGGCAACCCUGGCGGCGAGCGGCGGACGGGUGAGGAAUGCAUCGGAAUCUACCUCGUUGUGGGGGAUAACCUCGGGAAACCGGGACUAAUACCGCAUACGACCUACGGGUGAAAGUGGGGGACCUUCGGGCCUCACGCGAUGAGAUGAGCCGAUGCCGGAUUAGCUAGUUGGCGGGGUAAAGGCCCACCAAGGCGACGAUCCGUAGCUGGUCUGAGAGGAUGAUCAGCCACACUGGAACUGAGACACGGUCCAGACUCCUACGGGAGGCAGCAGUGGGGAAUAUUGGACAAUGGGCGCAAGCCUGAUCCAGCCAUGCCGCGUGUGUGAAGAAGGCCUUCGGGUUGUAAAGCAC
This 386-nucleotide ribosomal RNA is filed under the name uncultured organism. RNAcentral's name for it is "bacterial SSU rRNA". It matches the Rfam family "Bacterial small subunit ribosomal RNA", at positions 45 to 433 of the family's 1533-position model. The record is from RNAcentral.